UACGGAGGGUGCAAGCGUUAUCCGGAUUCACUGGGUUUAAAGGGUGCGUAGGUGGGUUGGUAAGUCCGUGGUGAAAUCCCCAAGCUUAACUUGGGAACUGCCGUGGAUACUAUCAAUCUUGAAUAUCGUUGAGGUAAGCGGAAUAUGUCAUGUAGCGGUGAAAUGCUUAGAUAUGACAUAGAACACCGAUAGCGGAGGCAGCUUACUAAGCGAUCAUUGACACUGAGGCACGAAAGCGUGGGGAGCGAACAGG
RNAcentral lists this ribosomal RNA (253 nucleotides) under uncultured bacterium. RNAcentral's name for it is "partial 16S ribosomal RNA". It matches the Rfam family "Bacterial small subunit ribosomal RNA", at positions 524 to 776 of the family's 1533-position model. The record is from RNAcentral.